CAGCUUCUCUGCCUGCAACAUCCUUUUCAUCUGGCUCCUUUACAUGUCAGAAGAAAGAAUUAUCUCACCAUUCCGGCUCAACAAGAAAUUCAGUCCUGAACAGACAAAAAAGUUUAAAAAUAUUUUAUAAACAUUAACCUGGACUUUUCGUAGAAGAAAUAAAGCUGAGAACGUCAUAUUUCAGCAGCUUCAAUACUUGUUUUCUGAUUGAAUCAUAAAUUUCAUUACUUUAUACUUGCUUCUACAAUGACAAAGUACCCAAAGCUAAAUGUGAAUGUCUAGUAGGUCAGAAA
This is a long non-coding RNA of Homo sapiens (human), 293 nucleotides long. Ensembl annotates it as DMD antisense RNA 3. Its record names the gene DMD-AS3. Lineage: Eukaryota; Metazoa; Chordata; Mammalia; Primates; Hominidae. The record is from Ensembl.